Molecule: ribosomal RNA, 250 nt
Filed under: uncultured bacterium
Lineage: Bacteria
Description: partial 16S ribosomal RNA
Rfam family: Bacterial small subunit ribosomal RNA
Source: RNAcentral
UAGCGUAGGGUGCAAGCGUUAAUCGGAAUUACUGGGCGUAAAGCGUGCGCAGGCGGCUUUGCAAGACAGAUGUGAAAUCCCCGGGCUUAACCUGGGAACUGCAUUUGUGACUGCAUGGCUGGAGUGCGGCAGAGGGGGAUGGAAUUCCGCGUGUAGCAGUGAAAUGCGUAGAUAUGCGGAGGAACACCGAUGGCGAAGGCAAUCCCCUGGGCCUGCACUGACGCUCAUGCACGAAAGCGUGGGGAGCAAA